Molecule: non-coding RNA, 1694 nt
Organism: Cricetulus griseus (Chinese hamster)
Lineage: Eukaryota; Metazoa; Chordata; Mammalia; Rodentia; Cricetidae
Source: RefSeq, a predicted model, not a curated record
UGGUGUGGACAAUGUCCGUGUCUGGGUGUGGUAAGUGGGCUCUUUAGCAGCCCAGCUGUGUGUGACCUGUGACUGGGAGGCUUUUCCCAGUGGACAAGGGCACAGUCAGGGACUACAUCCGCCAGCUGCCUCCCGUGACUCUGCCUGUGCCCAAACAGUGAGAGUGUCAUCUCCGAUGUAUUGCCAGGCAACCAAGUGUGCCAGGGCCUGGGUGUGUCCCCUAAUGCUGUCUUGAGUUCAGCAGCCCAGGCCGGCCUGCUUGCUAUGCCGGUGUCUCUAGCUGGCCAUGCCCUCUUGAGACGGCAUGCUCCCUCGUUCAUUCCUCCUGCCCCAGUACUAAGGAUGGAAGCCAAGGUCUUGUGCAAGCUAGAGGCACACACCACCACUGAGCCACACCUCCAGCCAGCAACAGCCUUGGGUUCAAUCCCUCUGCUACCUCAGGAGGCUGGUGCUAGAACUGGAAGCUUCCUUUUGGCCUGGAGGCCAGCCCUCCUUGAAUCUGAGAGUUGGACUAUGGAGGACCGACUUUAGUGAAAAGAAUGCAUUCUCACAGGGAUGUCUGGAUGAGGGAGUACAAUCCAACCCUUCUUUUAAUUUGCCUGAGGAGGUUUUUUCAUCCACAGUGUUUGGUGAUUUUGUCCUGUUUUUAGGAAUUUUAAAACUUUGGACAGUGAAAGCACCAUCUGAAAUCGUCAGAGAACUUUCCGGUUCCCCUGGAGAUUUGUUCUAUGUCGAUUUUUUUGUGUUUAUUUAUGUAUACCUUUAAUUAUUUAAUAUGUAUAUUUUGCCUGCAGUGCCCAAGGGGGCCAGAAGAGGGCGUCGGAUCCCCUGGAACUGGAGUUACAGACAAUUGUGAGUUGUCAUGUGGGUGCUGUGAUUCGAACCUGGGUUCCUGACCACCGAACCAUCUCACCAGACCUCAUUUUGACUUUAAGGUCCGCCUUGGCUACGUAGCCAGUUUGGGGCCAGAAUGGGCUGCAUGAGAUCCUGUCUCAAAUGAGUAGCCCGGAGGUACAGCUAGGUGCUGCAGAGCCUGUCCUAGGUUCGAUAUCCAGCAAUGAGAAAACAAGACGACUCAGCCAGAAACCGGAUAAGGGCGCGCGCUUACCACCGUGCCUGACCGCAUUGUAUGUGUCUGCAGGAAAACACACACACACCAGUGUGUGCAGUGCAUGGAGGUCAGACGAGGGCGUCGGAGCUCUACGCACCCGUGGAAGCAAGCCAGAGGACAACUUGAUGGACUAUAAACUUCUUCUUCCAUCAUGUGGAUCUGCAAGCUGGAACUCAGGUUAUCAAGCUUGGUGGCAUGUGUGCCCAUCUCACUGAACCUCUAACUUUUUCUAAAUUAAUUAACUUUUUCUGAUGGAAUAUGCUGUAUAGACCAUGCUGGCUUUGAACUCAUCAAGAUCUGCCUGUUUCUGCCUCCUGAAUGCUGGGAUGCUGGAAUGCCUCACUACAGUCGUUCAUAUUUAUUUUGAGCCAAACUGCCACCAUAUUGGCCUGCUUGGCCUGGAACUAAGAGACCUGACUCUGCUUCUCGGGUAUUUGGAUUAAGACAGAAAUCACUAUACCAGCUAAUUUUACACCCCCACCCCCACCCCGCCCCAACAGGGUUUCUCUGUAACUUUGGAGGCUGUCCUGGAACUCACUCUGUAGACCAGGCUGGUCUCAAACUCACAGAGAUCCGCCUGCCU